GACGAACGCUGGCGGCGUGCCUAAUACAUGCAAGUAGAACGCAGUUGCGAACGGGUGAGUAACGCGUAGGUAACCUGCCUCAUAGCGGGGGAUAACUAUUGGAAACGAUAGCUAAUACCGCAUACUGUGAGAUGGACCUGCGUUGUAUUAGCUAGUUGGUGAGGUAAAGACUCACCAAGGCGACGAUACAUAGCCGACCUGAGAGGACGAUCCGCCACACUGGGACUGAGACACGGCCCAGACUCCUACGGGAGGCAGCAGUGGGGAAUUUUGGACAAUGGGGGCAACCCUGAUCCAGCCAUGCCGCGUGUAUUAAGAAGGCCUUCGGGUUGUAAAGUACUUUCAGCGGGGAGGCGUUACCCGCAGAAGAAGCACCGGCUAACUCCGUGCCAGCAGCCGCGGUAAUAC
This 408-nucleotide ribosomal RNA is filed under the name uncultured bacterium. Its description in RNAcentral is "partial 16S ribosomal RNA". It matches the Rfam family "Bacterial small subunit ribosomal RNA", at positions 28 to 526 of the family's 1533-position model. The record is from RNAcentral.